GACAGGUGCUGUGUUCGCAUCGUUUGGCGUCUUUGUGGUUGUCAGUCGCUGGAAGAACGUGCUGCUUGUUCUGUGUGUGCGUUGUGGAAAUCGUUUCUGCUUGUGUUGGUGGAUUCUGAAAGACUGGUACAGCACAGUACGGUUACUCGUACUGACCAUGAGUCGUAAAGGCUGAACGACUGAUGCAACACGCGGUAUCUGACGCUGUAUACGAGUGCGGGGAUACUGUUGCUGCUCAUGCUGGCGAUGAAUGGGGAAUACUGAGAUACGCUUCACGGAAUGAAUGAAACGCGUUGGUGAUCCCUUCGAGUUUCCAGGUGCAGUUGAAAGCUAUUGGGAGGACUUGGCACCUGCACACAGUGCCAAAGCUACCAGUACCUGGUUUAAGGACCAUGGUAUCCCUGUUCUUAAUUGGCCAGCAAACUCGCCUGACCUUAACCUCAUAGAAAAUGUAUGGGGUAUUGUGAAGAGGAAGAUGUGAUAUGCCAGACCCAACAAUGCAGAAGAGCUGAAGGCCACUAUCAGAGCAACCUGGGCUCUCAUAACACCUGAGCAGUGCCACAGACUGAUCGACGCCAUGCCAUGCACUCCAAGUAUGAGUGCUGUACAUGCUCAUACUUUUCAUGUUCAUACUUUUCAGUUGGCCAAGAUUUCUAAAAAUCCUUUCUUUGUAUUGGUCUUAAGUAAUAUUCUAAUUUUCUGAGAUACUGAAUUUGGGAUUUUCAUUAGUUGUCAGUUAUAAUCAUCAAAUUAAAAGAAAUAAACAUUUGAAAUAUAUCAGUCUGUGUGUAAUGAAUGAAUAUAAUAUACA
Triplophysa rosa is the source of this 811-nucleotide long non-coding RNA. RefSeq lists it as uncharacterized. The record is from RefSeq and is a predicted model, not a curated record. Lineage: Eukaryota; Metazoa; Chordata; Actinopteri; Cypriniformes; Nemacheilidae. The transcript has 3 exons.